Molecule: ribosomal RNA, 440 nt
Filed under: uncultured bacterium
Lineage: Bacteria
Description: partial 16S ribosomal RNA
Rfam family: Bacterial small subunit ribosomal RNA
Source: RNAcentral
CCUACGGGUGGCUGCAGUGGGGGAUAUUGCACAAUGGGGGAAACCCUGAUGCAGCGACGCCGCGUGGGUGAAGAAGCGCCUCGGCGCGUAAAGCCCUGUCAGCAGGGAAGAAAAUGACGGUACCUGAAGAAGAAGCCCCGGCUAACUACGUGCCAGCAGCCGCGGUAAUACGUAGGGGGCAAGCGUUAUCCGGAUUUACUGGGUGUAAAGGGGGCGCAGACGGCGAUGCAAGCCAGGAGUGAAAGGCCGGGGCUCAACCCCGGGACUGCCUGUGGAACUGUGUAGCUAGAGUGUAGGAGGGGCAGGCGGAAUGUCUGGUGUAGCGGUGAAAUGCGUAGAGAUCAGGAGGAACACCGAUUGCGAAGGCAGCCUACCGGACUGCAACUGACGUUGAGGCCCGAAAGCGUGGGGAGCAAACAGGAUUAGAUACCCGGGUAGUC